RNAcentral lists this ribosomal RNA (608 nucleotides) under Salmonella enterica subsp. enterica serovar Paratyphi B. Its description in RNAcentral is "partial 23S ribosomal RNA". It matches the Rfam family "Bacterial large subunit ribosomal RNA", at positions 2259 to 2861 of the family's 2925-position model. Lineage: Bacteria; Pseudomonadati; Pseudomonadota; Gammaproteobacteria; Enterobacterales; Enterobacteriaceae. The record is from RNAcentral.
UGGUGGGUAGUUUGACUGGGGCGGUCUCCUCCUAAAGAGUAACGGAGGAGCACGAAGGUUGGCUAAUCCUGGUCGGACAUCAGGAGGUUAGUGCAAUGGCAUAAGCCAGCUUGACUGCGAGCGUGACGGCGCGAGCAGGUGCGAAAGCAGGUCAUAGUGAUCCGGUGGUUCUGAAUGGAAGGGCCAUCGCUCAACGGAUAAAAGGUACUCCGGGGAUAACAGGCUGAUACCGCCCAAGAGUUCAUAUCGACGGCGGUGUUUGGCACCUCGAUGUCGGCUCAUCACAUCCUGGGGCUGAAGUAGGUCCCAAGGGUAUGGCUGUUCGCCAUUUAAAGUGGUACGCGAGCUGGGUUUAGAACGUCGUGAGACAGUUCGGUCCCUAUCUGCCGUGGGCGCUGGAGAACUGAGGGGGGCUGCUCCUAGUACGAGAGGACCGGAGUGGACGCAUCACUGGUGUUCGGGUUGUCAUGCCAAUGGCACUGCCCGGUAGCUAAAUGCGGAAGAGAUAAGUGCUGAAAGCAUCUAAGCACGAAACUUGCCCCGGGAUGAGUUCUCCCUGAGACUUAGAGUCUCCUGAAGGAACGUUGAAGACGACGACGUUGAUAGGC